UACUCUCUUCAGAGUUAUUCCAAUUAUUUUAUUAAUCUAAUUAAUUGUAUUUUUUUUCAUCCAAGAAGUUUGACCCCCCUCUAAUUUUUUUUUUCAUUUUAUUUUGGGGACUUAAUAGUAAAUUGUAAUGCGUCUCACAACUGAGAAAAUUUUAUUUUUUUUGGGGGGUCAUUUCGGUUUUGGAUCUGGGAAGAAUGGGUU
Molecule: long non-coding RNA, 201 nt
Filed under: Erythranthe guttata (spotted monkey flower)
Lineage: Eukaryota; Viridiplantae; Streptophyta; Magnoliopsida; Lamiales; Phrymaceae
Description: long non-coding RNA (EGUT_LNC000132)
Source: RNAcentral